Molecule: long non-coding RNA, 368 nt
Organism: Mastomys coucha (southern multimammate mouse)
Lineage: Eukaryota; Metazoa; Chordata; Mammalia; Rodentia; Muridae
Exons: 2
Source: RefSeq, a predicted model, not a curated record
GCCAGCACUGAAGAGAAGACAGCUGCGUCUGUUAGGAGACAGAGUCACGGAGACCAGGGUGAACAGAGAGGCACCAGGACACUGCCUAUGCAGGAGGAAGGGAAGGGCAAGGAGUGCAUGGUGACCAUGAGAUCAGAAGAGGGUGUCAGACUGCCUGGAACUGAAGUUACAGAUGCUUGUGAGCUAUCACGUAAGCACUGGGACUUGACCCUGGAGCCCCUGCAGGAGCAGCAGGUGCUCCUGACCCAUAAGCCAACUAGUCAGACCCAGAAAAUGUCAUCUUAAGUUAGUGGUAGAUCUAACUGAAACCAUCUGCAGAAAAAAAAUGGUAAUUCUAACUUGAGAAAUAACUAUUCUUUAUUCCAAAA